AUUCGCUAGUAAUCGCGCAUCAGCCAUGGCGCGGUGAAUACGUUCCCGGGCCUUGUACACACCGCCCGUCACACCAUGAGAGUUGGAAAUACCCGAAGCCUGUGAGCUAACUUAAAGAGGCAGCAGUCGAAGGUAGAGCCAAUGAUUGGGGUGAAGUCGUAACAAGGUAGC
RNAcentral lists this ribosomal RNA (171 nucleotides) under uncultured bacterium. RNAcentral describes it as "partial 16S ribosomal RNA". It matches the Rfam family "Bacterial small subunit ribosomal RNA", at positions 1330 to 1500 of the family's 1533-position model. The record is from RNAcentral.